AGACAGAAAGAAGGAAGCUUGUCGAAACUGACCUACUCUCUGUUCGACUGCCUGGUUUUUUUUUUUUUUUUUUUUUUUUUUCAAUUGGUUCGUUCCUCGAGAACUCUGCUCAGUGGUAAGCGUAAAAGGAGAGAGAGUUGUUGUCGAUAA
RNAcentral lists this non-coding RNA (150 nucleotides) under uncultured Mamiellales. The record is from RNAcentral. Lineage: Eukaryota; Viridiplantae; Chlorophyta; Mamiellophyceae; Mamiellales.